This 228-nucleotide ribosomal RNA is filed under the name uncultured bacterium. Its description in RNAcentral is "partial 16S ribosomal RNA". It matches the Rfam family "Bacterial small subunit ribosomal RNA", at positions 18 to 237 of the family's 1533-position model. The record is from RNAcentral.
GAGGGCUCAGGAUGAACGCUAGCUACAGGCUUAACACAUGCAAGUCGAGGGGCAGCAUGGUCUUAGCUUGCUAAGGCCGAUGGCGACCGGCGCACGGGUGAGUAACACGUAUCCAACCUGCCGUCUACUCUUGGACAGCCUUCUGAAAGGAAGAUUAAUACAAGAUGGCAUCAUGAGUUCGCAUGUUCACAUGAUUAAAGGUAUUCCGGUAGACGAUGGGGAUGCGUU